CUGAUCGUUUUUUAUUAAAAGUGCAAAUAAAAGGGCUCUCCCCGUUCCGCCGGCCACUCCAGCCGUCGACGGAGCUGCUUGCGCCGAGAUCCCUCCACCCGCCCGCCUUCUUCCCGGCAACCCAGGCCCCACCCUAGGCGCGGCGAUGGGCGCCGGGGCGCGGGCGACGGCGGCGGCGCUCGCGAGGGCGGACGCCGGCGGCGACAUCGUCCACCAGGACGUCGACGCGCCCAAGAUUCUCGGCUACUCGAACGACUUCAUGCUCGUAUUCUCCGUCUCUCCAGCCGCCAGACACGAAGAAGAAGUCCGCGACUCUGGCGGCGGUUGCCCACGGCCAAUGAGAAGGAAGCCGCGGCAGUUCCAGGGACAAGAAGACGACAGCAGCCCCCCGACGGCCUCCUGCAAGCACAGCGAGGAAAAAAGGGUGGUGUGGUUCGGUUGGAUGCCCCGUUACUAAAAUAUCUUGUUGAAAAACUGCAGUUUUCUGUAAAGAUAUAUGUUUGAGUGAAGAAGUUGUCAAGAAGACAAAAUCAGUUGGGAAGCUCAAACAAGAAGCUGAGAAUAGCCUAUAAUAGAGUGAAAGAUUUAACAACGAGAAGGCUGAGUUUGAGCAAGCUUCCUUCACAAAAGCAUGUCAUGGACCCUCUGAUCCUGGCCUCCACUCCGUCGAGGCACAUAUGAGGGUUACCAUGAUUCUGGUAGUGCUUGUUCUACCAUCAGGUGGAGGGCUAUGAGGAUGUUGUGGCAAUAAGACUAUGCCGCCAUAUAGGUUCAAUCAGUACAUGAAGCAGAUGCCGCGUACUAUAUUGCUUAUCUGUGCAGGGCUAAGAGGAAGUUGAUGCAUGGCAGGGGACGGAGGUGCAGCGAGAUCCUGGAGAGGCCGCGCCGAUGCAUCUUCUAAAGGGUGACUCGAAACCAGCAGAGGGACAGGGAUCAUGUGAAAACGCUGAUUCAGUGAAAAUCUGGAAACUCAACUCUUGGGCCAUCGGAUCAAUAAGGAGCGCACAGAUGAGAGGGUGGGCUUGCUAAUCACUUGGUCGUACUUUUACACGGGGCUGACUGUACUUUUAUGAGGGUGGGCUUGCUAAUCACUUACCCUUGCCCUUUCCGUUGACCGAGCUGCUCGCGGCCGAUCCCUCCACCUGCCCGCCUCCCUCCUGGCAACCUAGGCCCCACCGUAGGCGCGAUGAUGGGCGCCGGGGCGCGAUCGACGACAGCGGCGCUCGCGGUGGCACUCGUGCUGAUCUCUUUGUGUGUUUGUACAGAGGAGGUACUUUUCAUAGAGUAAUUUUGAAUGGUUCCGAAAAAAGUACUUGAACUGAUGUCCGUAUAGUUUUGUACUGAGCGUGUUUUUGUAGACUAGACUUUACUCUCUUUUUUUGGUACGGCUUUUCCUCGUAACUUUUCAAUGGUUUACGGUUUUCAUAGUCCUCGAACUUGCAUGGAUUUAUAUCAUUGAACUGAAUGAUAUUUUACGAAAAGAAAAUGUUUUAUGUGUUUCCUUUUUUAAACUCAAAUUUUUUUGCAACGAUGUUUUGGACUUCUCGCGUUUUGCAGCUUGAACUUUUACCAUUUGAAUUUUCGUGGGUUUUUCUUUUGUUUAAGUUUUUCCCCAAACUUAUCUGAGUCGUCAUGUUUGAACAUACAACUUUUGUAGUUGUGAACUUGUGGUUUUUUCCUUUAUGAAGUUGUUUUUUUCCUCCGAACUUUUACUACUACAAUUGUUUUUGCAAAUUUAUUGUCCCUUGAGUCAGAACUAAUGCAAUUUUUAAUUUAUGGUACUUAUAGUACUAGAGAGUUUGUACUUCUCAAAAAAUAAUCACUUGAUGUUCUUUUAGUUUUAGUUUUUAAUUUCCUUUCGCAUCCUUAUCCUUACUGACGGUGUCAUCACCAUCGUACCUUUAUGGUUUAUAUAGUUGAAUGGACUUACAUUUUUACCAUUUCCUUCUUUUUAAAAACUUAUAGUACCAA
Non-coding RNA from Aegilops tauschii subsp. strangulata, 1971 nucleotides. The record is from RefSeq and is a predicted model, not a curated record. Lineage: Eukaryota; Viridiplantae; Streptophyta; Magnoliopsida; Poales; Poaceae.